Molecule: ribosomal RNA, 473 nt
Filed under: Escherichia coli
Lineage: Bacteria; Pseudomonadati; Pseudomonadota; Gammaproteobacteria; Enterobacterales; Enterobacteriaceae
Description: bacterial SSU rRNA
Rfam family: Bacterial small subunit ribosomal RNA
Source: RNAcentral
AAAUUGAAGAGUUUGAUCAUGGCUCAGAUUGAACGCUGGCGGCAGGCCUAACACAUGCAAGUCGAACGGUAACAGGAAGCAGCUUGCUGCUUUGCUGACGAGUGGCGGACGGGUGAGUAAUGUCUGGGAAACUGCCUGAUGGAGGGGGAUAACUACUGGAAACGGUAGCUAAUACCGCAUAACGUCGCAAGACCAAAGAGGGGGACCUUCGGGCCUCUUGCCAUCGGAUGUGCCCAGAUGGGAUUAGCUAGUAGGUGGGGUAACGGCUCACCUAGGCAACGAUCCCUAGCUGGUCUGAGAGGAUGACCAGCCACACUGGAACUGAGACACGGUCCAGACUCCUACGGGAGGCAGCAGUGGGGAAUAUUGCACAAUGGGCGCAAGCCUGAUGCAGCCAUGCCGCGUGUAUGAAGAAGGCCUUCGGGUUGUAAAGUACUUUCAGCGGGGAGGAAGGGAGUAAAGUUAAUACCUUU